UGGCGAGAAGGGAAGUGUGUUUCCAUAGAA
Molecule: small RNA, 30 nt
Filed under: Plasmodium falciparum 3D7
Lineage: Eukaryota; Apicomplexa; Aconoidasida; Haemosporida; Plasmodiidae
Description: Pfa-mtR76b
Source: RNAcentral